GACAGCUUGGCCGAGUGGUCAAGGCACCCUCCUGCUAAGCGUGUACUCCCGAGUGUCGAAUCCUGCAGCUGUCG
This is a non-coding RNA of Aspergillus steynii IBT 23096, 74 nucleotides long. NCBI's taxonomy places the organism in Eukaryota, Fungi, Ascomycota, Eurotiomycetes, Eurotiales, Aspergillaceae. The record is from the annotation of a RefSeq genome assembly.